AAAGAAAUCGUUAAGGGCGUAUGGCGGAUGCCUAGGCUUUCAGAGGCGAAGAAGGACGUGGUAAGCUGCGAAAAGCUGCGGGGAUUGGCACACACGAGUUGAUCCGCAGAUGUCCGAAUGGGGCAACCCGGCUGGUUGAAGACCAGUCACACCGCAAGGUGAGCAAACCCGGAGAACUGAAACAUCUAAGUACCCGGAGGAAAAGAAAUCGAAGAGAUUCCGUAAGUAGUGGCGAGCGAAAGCGGAUUAGCCCAAAAGCUUUUAUAUGUUUAAUAGAACGUUUUGGAAAGAACGGCCAUAGAGGGUGAUAGCCCCGUAUAUGAAAGGCAUACAUAAGUGAUAAAUGAGUAGGGCGGGACACGUGAAAUCCUGUCUGAAUAUGGGGGGACCAUCCUCCAAGGCUAAAUACUCCUGAAAGACCGAUAGUGAACAAGUACUGUGAAGGAAAGGUGAAAAGCACUUCGAAUAGAAGGGUGAAAGAGAACCUGAAACCGUACGCCUACAAGCGGUCGGAGCCCACAAGUUGGGUGACGGCGUGCCUUUUGCAUAAUGAGCCUACGAGUUAAUUUUACUAGCGAGGUUAAGUAAUUAAGUUACGGAGCCGAAGCGAAAGCGAGUCUGAAUAGGGCGAAUAGUUAGUAGGAUUAGACGCGAAACCUUGUGAUCUACCCAUGGGCAGGUUGAAGCUUUGGUAACACAAAGUGGAGGACCGAACCGGUUGACGUUGAAAAGUCUUCGGAUGACCUGUGGGUAGGGGUGAAAGGCCAAUCAAACUGGGAGAUAGCUCGUACUCCCCGAAAUGCAUUUAGGUGCAGCGUUGCGUUAGUUUAUUAGAGGUAGAGCUACUGAUUGGAUGCGGGGGUUUCAUCGCCUACCAAUUCCUGACAAACUCCGAAUGCUAAUAAAUGAUGCGCAGCAGUGAGGGCAUGGGUGCUAAGGUCCAUGUCCGAGAGGGAAAGAACCCAGACCAACAGCUAAGGUCCCUAAAUAUAUGCUAAGUUGAAACAACGCGGUUGGACUGCAUUGACAGCUAGGAUGUUGGCUUGGAAGCAGCCAUUCAUUUAAAGAGUGCGUAACAGCUCACUAGUCGAGCGGUCCGGCAUGGAUAAUAAUCGGGCAUAAGCAUAUUACCGAAGCUAUGGCAGUAUUUAUACUGGGUAGGGGAGCAUUCUAUCGGCGCAGAAGCAGUACCGCGAGGUAUUGUGGAGCUUAUAGAAAAGAAAAUGUAGGCAUAAGUAACGAUAAAGGGGGCGAGAAACCCCCUCACCGAAAGACUAAGGUUUCCUCAGCCAUGCUAAUCAGCUGAGGGUUAGUCGGGGCCUAACGCGAACCCGAAAGGGGUAGUGGAUGGACAUUAGGUUAAUAUUCCUAAACUUGCUCUCGUUAAAAGGGGACGGUUCACUGUAGUUGCUGAAGACUGACGGAAUAGUCAAGGCCUAGCCUUCGGGCGAAGCUGCUGUAAUGAAGGUGGAUCCAAGAAAAGCCGAAGAGAAGCAACCCGUACCAAAACCGACACAGGUAGUCGAGGAGAGAAUCCUAAGGUGCUCGAGUGAGUCGUGGCUAAGGAACUAGGCAAAAUAGUCUCGUAACUUCGGAAGAAGAGACGCCCCGAGCAAUCGGGGCCGCAGUGAAGAGGCCCAGGCGACUGUUUAUCAAAAACACAGGACUCUGCUAAAUCGAAAGAUGCUGUAUAGGGUCUGACACCUGCCCGGUGCUGGAAGGUUAAGGAAGGCGCUUAGCGUAAGCGAAGGCGUUGACUGAAGCCCCAGUAAACGGCGGCCGUAACUAUAACGGUCCUAAGGUAGCGAAAUUCCUUGUCGGGUAAGUUCCGACCUGCACGAAUGGUGUAACGAUCUGGGCACUGUCUCAGCCACGAGCUCGGUGAAAUUGUAGUAUCGGUGAAGAUGCCGAUUACCCGCAAUGGGACGAAAAGACCCUGUGAACCUUUACUAUAACUUCGUAUUGACUUUGAGUAAGCAAUGUGUAGGAUAGGUGGGAGGCUUUGAAGCCGGUACGCCAGUAUCGGUGGAGCCGACGUUGAAAUACCACCCUUUGCUUACUUGGAGCCUAACUUCUUUAGGAAGGACACUGCGUGGUGGGUAGUUUGACUGGGGUGGUCGCCUCCAAAAGAGUAACGGAGGCUUUCAAAGGUACCCUCAGCACGCUUGGUAACCGUGCGUAGAGUGUAAUGGCAUAAGGGUGCUUGACUGUGAGACCUACAAGUCGAUCAGGUGCGAAAGCAGGACAUAGUGAUCCGGUGGUUCCGCAUGGAAGGGCCAUCGCUCAUAGGAUAAAAGGUACUCCGGGGAUAACAGGCUAGUCUCCCCCAAGAGCUCACAUCGACGGGGAGGUUCGGCACCUCGAUGUCGGCUCGUCACAUCCUGGGGCUGGAGAAGGUCCCAAGGGUUGGGCUGUUCGCCCAUUAAAGUGGCACGCGAGCUGGGUUCAGAACGUCGUGAGACAGUUCGGUCUCUAUCUAUUGCGGGCGUUAGAUGUUUGAGAGGGCUUGAAUCUAGUACGAGAGGACCGAUUUGAACAAACCUCUGGUGUAUCUGUUGUGCCGCCAGGCGCACCGCAGAGUAGCUAUGUUUGGUAAGGAUAAGCACUGAAAGCAUAUAAGUGCGAAACCUGCCUCAAGAUGAGACAUCUUUUAAGGGUCGUUGGAGAUGACGACGUUGAUAGGCUACAGGUGUAAAGCUGGUAACAGCAUAGCCGAGUAGUACUAAUUACCCGUAGAUUUAUAGCCU
RNAcentral lists this ribosomal RNA (2747 nucleotides) under Chryseobacterium taklimakanense. RNAcentral describes it as "23S ribosomal RNA". It matches the Rfam family "Bacterial large subunit ribosomal RNA". Lineage: Bacteria; Pseudomonadati; Bacteroidota; Flavobacteriia; Flavobacteriales; Weeksellaceae. The record is from RNAcentral.